CUGAGCCUGAAAUAUGUCCAAAAUGUAAAAAAGGAAAACACUGGGCUAAUCACUCUAAGUUUGAUAAAGAUGGGAACCUGAUUUCAGGAAAAGCCAUGAGGGGCCCAUCCUGGGCCCCAUUCCAAACUGGGGCAUUUCCAGCUCGGGUCAUUCCCUCACCCCUGUACAAUGCCUGUCCCCCACCACAGCUGGUAGAGCCACACUAGAUUUAUGCUGCAGUAGAUUUAUGCUGAGUCUUCUGCCUGGGGAACCCCUGCAAAAGGUCCCAACAGGAGUCUGUGGUCCCUUGCCAGCAGGGACAAUAGGAUUAGUUCUAGGCAGUUCUAGUUUAAAUUUAAAAGGGGUACAAAUACAUACAAGAGUCAUUGAUUCAGAUUACAAUGGGGAAAUUCAAAUUGUUAUAUCUACUUCUGUUCCCUGGAAAGCAGAGCCAGGAGAGUGCAUAGCACAGCUCCUGAUUGUGUCAUAUGUGGGAAUGGGAAAAAGUGAAAUUAAAUGAACAGGAGGAUUUGGAAGCACAAAUAAACAAGGCAAAGCAGCUUAUUGGGUAAAUCAAAUUACUGAUACACAUCCUACCUGUGAAAUAACUAUUCAGGGAAAUAAAUUUAAAGGUUUGGUAGAUACAGGAGUGGACAUUUUCUCUACAGCACUGGCCGUCUGCAUGGCCAAUUCAACCCACUCAAUUCAACUCCAAUAGUUGGAGUUGGUAAAGUCCCUGAAGUAUAUCAAAGUAGCUAUAUUUUGCAUUGUGAAGGGCCUGAUGGACAACCUGGGACUAUUCAACCAAUUAUAACUUCUGUACCCAUAAAUUUCUGAGGAAGGGAUUUAUUACAACAAUGGGGAGUACAAGUUCUAAUUCCAGAACAAUUAUAUAGCCCUCAAAGUCAACAUAUGAUGCAUAUAAUGGGGUAUGUUCCUGGUAUUGGACUAGGAAAAAAUUUGCGAGUUUUGAAAGAACCACUGCAAGUGGAAAGACAAAAUUCCUGCCAAGGCUUAGGAUAUCAUUUUUGAUGGCAGCCAUUGUUAAGCCUCCAGAACCUAUACCUUUAAAAUGGUUAACAGAUAAGCCAAUUUGGAUAGAACAAUGGCUGCUAAGUAAAGAGAAACUGGAGGCUUUAGAGAAAUUAGUUCAAUUAGAAAAUGGGCACAUAGCCCCAACAUUUUCUGCUUGGGAUUCUCCAGUUUUCAUAAUUAAGAAAAAUUCAGGUAAAUAGAAAAUGUUAACUGACUUAAGAGCCAUCAAUUCAGUUAUACAACCUAUGGGAGCAUUACAGCCAGGAUUGCCUUCUCCUGCUAUAAUUCCAAAAAAUUGGCCUUUAAUAGUCAUAGAUUUGAAAGACUGUUUCUUUACUAUCCCUUUGGCUGAGCAAGACUGUGAAUGGUUUGCAUUUACAAUUCUUGCAGUAAACAACCUGCAGCCUGCUAAGCAUUUUCAUUGUUUUACAGAUGGGUCUAGUAAUGGUAAAACUUCUUAUUCUGGCUCAAAAAGUAAAGUUUUCCAGAUGCCCUAUACUUCAGCUCAAAAAGUGGAGCUUGUAGCUGUAAUUGAGGUAUUGACUGCUUUUGAUAUGCCUGUUAAUGUGAUUUCUGAUUCUUCAUAUAUGGUUCUUUCCACACAGUUAAUUGAAAAUGCUCAGUUACGAUUUCAUACAGAUGAACAACUGAAGACAAAAACAACAAAGGGGGAGAAAGAGGGAUUAUGGGACAGCCCAUAUACAAUUGAAUCUAGCAUUAUUAACUUUAAAUUUUUUGAGUCUGCCUAAAGGCCAGAUGUUAUCAGCAGCUGAACAGCAUUUACAGAAACCGGCUGCAAAGACAGAAGCAGAACAACUGGUUUGGUGGAGAGAUCCGAUAACAAAAAGUUGGGAAAUAGGUAAAAUAAUAACUUGGGGUAGAGGUUAUGUUUGUGUUUCUCCAGGCCAAAAUCAAUAACCAAUUUGGAUACCAUCAAGACACCUGAAACCUUAUCAUGAGCCAGAUGCUGAGGAAGAGAUUCCAGGAGGAUCCUGAGGACCCCCUGGUUGCAGCCACGUCGAGGCUGACACUGAGGAGGACCCCAACUGUCAUGAGCAACACCCGUCGAACACAGCCAUCCACCUGGGGACAAAUCAAGAAGCUGUCACAGAUGAUGGAAGAAAACCUGAGGAAAGCGGGACAACCAAUCACAAUGAGUAAUUUGGUGAUCUAUCACAGUGAUGAUCACCAUUGCCAUGAGUAUUCCUUCAACAAGGGCUGACACAGAGAACAAUUAUACUUAUUGGGCAUAUUUAUCAAUCUUGUCUGGCAAUAAUGCCUAGAUGAUUUCACUCUAUGGCACAGUUACACAUGCUUUCUGAUCUCAGUAUUUACCAUAAUAAAUCUGCUCCUAUAAUUGAGGCAUACCACCCUCAAAAACCUAUUUGUAAACAAAAUAGAACCUGGCCAGAAAUAAUGAACAACUUGUUUAGUAAGAUUGCAUUGCAGAACAGGCAGAGAUGCUACGCAAUGAUUCCUAUGGGAUCAUUGAUUGGUCCCCUAAGGGGAUGUUUAGCUUAAAUUGCACCUCUCAGUCUGCAUGCCAUGGCCACACUAGUUCAGAUGGUCUGAACAAAGUGGUCAGAUGGCAGAAAUGAUAAGAAGUAUGGCAAAAGUUCCUAUUGUCUGGAACCAUGGCAGUAUAGUGUCACCUCAACCUCAAAUGAUAUGGCUCAUUGUAGGAGCUAAACAUAAGGAUUUGUGGAAACUAUUAAUAGCUCUUAAUAAGAUCAAAAUUUGGGAAAGAAUAAAAAAAGCAUCUAGAAAGACACUCUACAAACUUGUCUUUGGAUAUUACAAAAUUAAAAGAACAAAUAUUUAAAGCAUCCCAGGUACACCUGACCUUAAUGACAGAAACUGGAGUGCUUGAAGGAGCUGCAGACAGAUUAGCAGCUAGUAACCCAUUAAAAUGGAUAAAAACACUUGGAAGCUCUGUGAUUUCAAUGAUGAUUGUGCUUUUAAUCGGUAUUGUUUGUCUUUGUAUAGUGUGCAGAUGUGGAUCCUGACUCCUGUGAGAAGUAGCUCACAGUGUCAAAGCUGCCUUUGCUUUUAUCGAUUUGCAAAUCAAAUAAGGGGGACAUAUUGGGAACAGCACCCCCCCCCCCAAAAUCUGGCCAUAAACUGGUCCCAAAACUGGCCAUAAACAAAAUCUCUGCAGCACUGACAUGUUCAUGAUGGUCUUAAUGCCCACGCUGGAAGGUUGUGGGUUUACCAGAAUGAGAGCAAGGAACACCUGGCCCACCCAGGGUGGAAAACCACUUAAAGGCAUUCUUAAACCACAAACAAUAGCAUGAGUGAUCUGUGCCUUAAGGCUGUGCUACUGCUGCAGAUAACUAGCCCAACCCAUCCCUUUAUUUCAGCCCAUCCCUUCGUUUCCCAUAAGGGAUACUUUUAAUUAAUCUAAUAUGUAUAGAAAGAAUGCUAAUGACUGGCUUGCUGUUAAUAAAUAACGUGGGUAAAUCUCUGUUGGAGGCUCUCAGCUCUGAAGGCUGUGAGACCCCGGAUUUCCCACUUCACACCUCUGUAUUUCUGUGUGUCUGUCUUUAAUUCCUUUAGCACCACUGGGUUAGGGUCUCCCCGACCGAGCUGGUCUUUGCACUUCUCACUUCUGGAUAUAGGCCUCCCUAGAGGGUUUUUUUUUUCUUUUUUGAUAGGAUCUUGCUCUUUCAUCCAGGCUGGUGUGCUGUAGUGUAUUCAUGGCUUGCUGCAGUCUUGAUCUCCCAGACUCAAGUAAUCCUCCCAUCUCAGCCUCCUGAAUAGCUAGGACCACAGGCCUGUGCCACCAUGUCUGGCUACUUUAAUUUUUUUUCCCUUAGAGACAGAGUCUCACUAUGUUGCCCAGGCUGGUCUCACAUUCCUGCACUCGUCAUCUUCC
RNAcentral lists this long non-coding RNA (3889 nucleotides) under Homo sapiens (human). Its description in RNAcentral is "non-protein coding lnc-RHEX-8:4". Lineage: Eukaryota; Metazoa; Chordata; Mammalia; Primates; Hominidae. The record is from RNAcentral.